Long non-coding RNA from Nannospalax galili (Upper Galilee mountains blind mole rat), 1116 nucleotides. RefSeq lists it as uncharacterized. The transcript has 3 exons. The record is from RefSeq and is a predicted model, not a curated record. NCBI's taxonomy places the organism in Eukaryota, Metazoa, Chordata, Mammalia, Rodentia, Spalacidae.
UUACAGAUGAAUCUCUCCCUGCUGCCAGAGCUCGACUGUGUUACAUGAUGGCUGGAGUUAGAAGUUAGGUGCAUCAUGCCCCACAUACACUUGAGCCAAGGCUCCGUGGAGGUGGCAACUUCCACCAAGGAACUAACCUACAAACCAAGAUGCAUGUCCAUUCUACUAAGCAAUAAUUCUACAGAUCUCCUCAUCUUUUCCAGGUUGCAUCUCCUCACGUCUGUACAGCUGCCGCUGAGGUGACAGGCCAUCAUGACCAUCCAUCCAGAGUUCCAGGAGUGGUUCAGUCUUUGUGCCUGCUGCCUGUGUUGGUUUCAAACAACUCCAACGGAAGGUCAGGCCUACUACUGCGACAAGUUAAAACAUCAACACUAAUGUCGGCAGCCUGAGUCCUAGGAAUUAGGUCGCUGAGUAAGAGUUUACUGUCCAAACUGUAAAUUGUAGAAGUAAAUGUUCAAACUGCCAUUUAAAUGUCUUUAUAGUGGGGAUGUGAAAUGUUCUCCUACAGGUUCAUGUUUGAACACUUGGUGAACAAUGUUGCUUUGGGAAGGUGUGGCACCUUUAGGAGGUGGAGGGAGUGGGCUGUUGAGAGUGGGCCUUGGAGGUUACAGCCUUACCCUCCCUUCUAAUUGGCCUGCUGUGUUGCCUGAUCCAGGGAGAUGUUGAGGAAUUCCAGUUACCCACUGUCAACUCUACCAUGCCUUCCUCAACAUGACAGUCUGCACCCUCUCAAACUGCAAGCCUUCCAGCAAGUCCUUCCCCUUUUAUGUUGCUUCUGUCAGCUAUUUUGUCACACUGAAAAGUAACUAAUUCAAAUGCUGAGUGAACAGUCAGCACAGCCCCCCCCUCACAGAAUGUGAGCUAAAGCAGCCCAUGCAGAUAGACAAAUGGAGGCAGUGCUCAGGCCUUCAUCUGACCACUCAUCUAUAAUUGGAAAUUUUCCUGUGAAAGCACCUUUUUUUUGACCAAAUUAUUUUUUAGCUAAACUUUUUAUAAAAAUCAUGAAAAGAUUGUUAAGAGCCAGGGGUAGGUAGUACAUGAACGUUAGGAAACAGAGUCCUCUAGGCUCCUGGGAACUUGCUCAUAUGAACUUAGAGCAAUGGUGACAGCAUAAAC